RNAcentral lists this ribosomal RNA (253 nucleotides) under uncultured bacterium. RNAcentral describes it as "partial 16S ribosomal RNA". It matches the Rfam family "Bacterial small subunit ribosomal RNA", at positions 524 to 776 of the family's 1533-position model. The record is from RNAcentral.
GACAGAGGUGCCAAGCGUUAGCCGGAAUCACUGGGCUUAAAGCGUGCGUAGGCGGCCUUGUAAGUACGUUGUGAAAUCCCACGGCUCACCCGUGGAACUGCUGGGUAUACUGCGAGUCUUGAGCCACUUAGGGGCUGUCGGAACAGGCGGUGGAGCGGUGAAAUGCGUAGAUAUCGCCUGGAACGCCAAAGGGGAAAACAGACAGCUGGGAGUGUGCUGACGCUGAGACACGAAAGCCAGGGGAGCGAACGGG